GAAAGUAGAAAAGGGCGCAAGGCGGAUGCCUUGGCUCACGGAGGCGAUGAAGGACGUGAUAAGCUGCGAUAAGCCUCGGGUAGAUGCAAAUAAUCUCUGAUCCGAGGAUUUCCGAAUGGGACAACCCGUCUGUCUGAAGGACAGUCACUAUCUUAAGAUAGAGCUAACGCAGGGAACUGAAACAUCUUAGUACCUGCAGGAAGAGAAAAUAAACUAAUGAUUCCCCUAGUAGUGGCGAGCGAACGGGGAAGAGCCCAAACCAUGACUGUAGCAAUGCAGCCGUGGGGUUGUAGGACCACGCUGUGGCAAGAUGCUUGUGAGAGGAACGUUCUGGAAAGAAUGACCAUAGAGGGUGACAGUCCCGUACUCGAAGCACGCUGAAGCCUAGUGGUAUCCUGAGUAACGCGGAACACGAGGAAUUCUGCGCGAAUCCGCCGGGACCAUCCGGUAAGGCUAAAUACUCCCGUGAGACCGAUAGCGAACCAGUACUGUGAAGGAAAGGUGAAAAGAACCCCGAGCAGGGGAGUGAAAUAGAUCCUGAAACCUUGCGCCUACAAGCGGUCGGAGCUGCUUUUGCAGUGACGGCGUGCCUUUUGCAUAAUGAACCUACGAGUUACCAUCUCUGGCGAGGUUAAGCUCCAUGAGGAGCGCAACCGCAGUGAAAGCGAGCCUGAACAGGGCGUCAAGUCAGAGGGGGUAGACGCGAAACCAAGUGAUCUACACUUGUCCAGGUUGAAGUCCCGGUAACACGGGAUGGAGGACCGAACCAAUAAGCGUUGAAAAGCUUCUGGAUGAGAUGAGUGUAGGAGUGAAAGGCCAAUCAAACUUGGAGAUAGCUCGUACUCCCCGAAAGGCAUUUAGGUGCCGCGUCGGAUGGUCACCGUGAGAGGUAGAGCGACCGAUAGGACAAGAGGGCUUCACCGCCUAUCGAGUCCUGACGAACUCCGAAUGCUCACGGUCCGCAGUCCGGCAGUAAGGGGGCGGGUGCUAAGGUCCGUCCCCGAGAGGAGAAGAAUCCAGACCGCCGUCUAAGGUCCCGGAAUUCUGUCUAAGUUAGUCUAACGAAGUGGGGUCUCAGUGACAGCCAGGAUGUUGGCUUGGAAGCAGCCAUUCAUUCAAAGAGUGCGUAACAGCUCACUGGUCGAGAGUCCCCGCAUGGAUAAUAAUCGGGUAUAAGACAGAUACCGAAGGCGCGGGAUAGCAAUAAUAAAAGUAUCGGUAGGGGAGCAUUCCAUAUCCGUCGAAUGGUGCGGGUAACCUAUCCUGGAGGAUAUGGAAAAGCAAAUGUAGGUAUAAGUAACGAUAAGGAGGGUAAGAUUCCCUCCCGCCGCAAGACUAAGGUUUCCCGGGCAAUGUCAAUCAUCCCGGGGUCAGUCGGGUCCUAAGUCUCAGCCGAACGGCGAGGGCGAUGGCAGACACGGUCAACAUUCCGUGACUACCUUUAGGAGCGAUGCGGAGACGGAGCAGUGAAACUUCCGCGAGCCGACGGAAUGGCUCGUUAAAGAGUGUAGGUGUAGAUGGCUGUAGGCAAAUCCGCAGUCAGAGCCGAACUUGAAAGUACGGGGUCCUCUUCGGAGGAACCUGAUAGCGAGGGUAAGCAUACUCCCGAGAAAAUCCGCUAAGCAAUCCUGAAGGUACCCGUACCGUAAACGGACACACGUAGUCGGGUAGAACAUACUAAGGCGUUGAGAGAUUCAUGGUUAAGGAACUAGGCAAACUGACCCCGUAACUUCGGGAUAAGGGGUCCUCGUGAAUAGCGAGGCGCAGAGAAUAGGUCCAGGCAACUGUUUAACAAAAACACAGGGCUGUGCAAACUCGAAAGAUGAGGUAUACAGCCUGACACCUGCCCGGUGCCGGAAGGUUAAGAGGAGAUGUCAACCGCAAGGCGAAGCAUUGAAUUGAAGCCCCGGUAAACGGCGGCCGUAACUAUAACGGUCCUAAGGUAGCGAAAUUCCUUGUCGGGUAAGUUCCGACCUGCACGAAUGGUGUAAUGAUCUGGACGCUGUCUCAACCGUGAGCUCAGUGAAAUUGUAGUAUCGGUGAAGAUGCCGAUUACCCGCGAUGGGACGAAAAGACCCCGUGAACCUUUACUAUAGCUUAUCAUUGAAUCUGGGCACGUGAUGUGUAGGAUAGGUCGGAGGCUUUGAAGCAGGUACGCCAGUAUUUGUGGAGCCGCUGUUGAAAUACGACCCUUUAUUUGUUUGGAUUCUAACCCGUGGAUACGGGGACAUUGAUUGGUGGGUAGUUUGACUGGGGUGGUCGCCUCCAAAAGCGUAACGGAGGCUUCUAAAGGUGCCCUCCGGCCGAUUGGUAACCGGCCUUAGAGUGUAAUGGCAUAAGGGCGCUUGACUGGGAGACUGACAAGUCGAUCAGGUAGGAAACUAGAGCAUAGUGAUCCGGUGUUUCCGUAUGGAAGGGACAUCGCUCAAAGGAUAAAAGGUACUCCGGGGAUAACAGGCUGAUCCCUCCCAAGAGCUCAUAUCGACGGAGUGGUUUGGCACCUCGAUGUCGGCUCGUCACAUCCUGGGGCUGGAGAAGGUCCCAAGGGUUGGGCUGUUCGCCCAUUAAAGUGGCACGCGAGCUGGGUUCAGAACGUCGUGAGACAGUUCGGUCUCUAUCUAUCGUGGGCGUAUGAAAUUUGCGUGGCUCUGACACUAGUACGAGAGGACCGUGUUGGACAGACCUCUGGUUUGCCGGUUGUGCCGCCAGGUGCAUUGCCGGGUAUCUAAGUCUGGAUCGGAUAAGUGCUGAAAGCAUCUAAGUACGAAGCCGGCCACAAGAUUAGAUUUCUCAGGGUCGUUGUAGACUACGACGUUGAUAGGAUGCAGGUGUAAAGAUGGAGACAUCAAAGCCGAGCAUUACUAAUUGCCCGUCCACUUUCCUUA
Molecule: ribosomal RNA, 2885 nt
Filed under: human gut metagenome
Description: bacterial LSU rRNA
Rfam family: Bacterial large subunit ribosomal RNA
Source: RNAcentral